Molecule: ribosomal RNA, 629 nt
Filed under: uncultured bacterium
Lineage: Bacteria
Description: bacterial SSU rRNA
Rfam family: Bacterial small subunit ribosomal RNA (bases 1-532)
Source: RNAcentral
CCUACGGGAGGCAGCAGUGGGGAAUUUUCCGCAAUGGGCGAAAGCCUGACGGAGCAAUACCGCGUGAGGGAAGAAAGCCUACUGGGUUGUAAACCCUCUUUUUUCAGGGAGGAAAAAAACUGACGUGUACCUGAAGAAUAAGCAUCGGCUAACUCCGUGCCAGCAGCCGCGGUAAGACGGAGGAUGCAAGUGUUAUCCGGAAUUACUGGGCGUAAAGCGUCUGUAGGUGGUUUAAUAAGUCAACUGUUAAAUCUUGAGGCUUAACUUCAAAACAGCAGUCGAAACUAUUAGACUAGAGUAUAGUAGGGGUAAACGGGAAUUUCCAGUGGAGCGGUGAAAUGCGUAGAUAUUGGAAAGAACACCGAUGGCGAAAGCACUUUACUGGGCUAUUACUAACACUCAGAGACGAAAGCUAGGGUAGCAAAUGGGAUUAGAUACCCCAGUAGUCCUAGCUGUAAACAAUGGAUACUAGAUGUUGAACAGAUCGACCUGUGNAGUAUUAAGUACUAACGUACGUUAACGUUACUCCGUCCGUCGGUAAGGUAUAGUCUCGCAAGAGUAGAACUACAACUAGUAAUUAGUACGGCGUGAGACGUGCCGAACGGACGACCGACCGACGGGGAGGUAGG